GCUGAUUUAGCAUAUAUUUAAUGUGGUGGGUUGUAAACCCUUUGAAAUCCCUAAAGUUAAUCAGGA
This 66-nucleotide transfer RNA is filed under the name Echinococcus equinus. RNAcentral describes it as "tRNA-Tyr". The record is from RNAcentral. Lineage: Eukaryota; Metazoa; Platyhelminthes; Cestoda; Cyclophyllidea; Taeniidae.